GCUCCCAUCUUCAGUUACGACGGUCCAGUUAUCAUCCCACAUGACAGGAUUUUUGCUACCAAUGGUUAGCAUCGGCUCUGCACGAGAAUUAAAUAAUGCGCACAAAAGAAAUCAGCAAUGGCGCAAGAUGAUGAAGGUGAUGAACAUCAAUGAGAUGACAGCUGCCAUAUAAGAAUUAGCAUUAGUUCCCCCCUCAACAAAGCUUUUGAAGUUGCCAAAAAGUGACCCAAGUGGUAAGCCCAUGAUCCGCAGGGGCACGCCCUCUUAUACAAGAUUGUUCAAAGGUUGAGUUUAAAGCUGGAAGAAUAAAGAUGAAUUGACUAUGAUUUUGCUGGGAUGAAAAAUAUUUACGAAGUGCCAAGGAGCUCAAGGUGAUGAUAGCAUGGCAAGGAACAGGUUGGCAGUUCCAAAUUCAGAAAUAUUAUCCAGCAGCAUUCACUUCUUACUGGUCACGAGAACAUGGUUGGCUUGAAGAUUCCUGGUUAGCGCCUCUUUUCAUAGCGUGACAGCGCCUUUAGCUUAAAGAUGAUGGAGACGUGCAUUAAUGUUUUGUGUAUUAAAAAGUCGGCUAAUGGAAUUUAAGAUUAGGAUUCAGCUGAAUCUUUAAUGAUUUGCUGAACCUAGACGGAGGGGACAAAGUAGGACUACCAGAGAGCUCUUUUUGCUUCUCUUGAAAGUCCUUACUAUAAGCUUGUUAUGGGUAGAUCGUAGAUGUAGCCUUAAAUACCCCUUUUUGUGAGGUCCUUUAAAAUGGUCAUGAUCCUAAUUUUUCAA
Cucumis melo (muskmelon) is the source of this 774-nucleotide long non-coding RNA. RefSeq lists it as uncharacterized. The record is from RefSeq and is a predicted model, not a curated record. Lineage: Eukaryota; Viridiplantae; Streptophyta; Magnoliopsida; Cucurbitales; Cucurbitaceae. The transcript is spliced from 2 exons.